GUGAGGAAUUUUCCGCAAUGGGCGAAAGCCUGACGGAGCAAUGCCGCGUGAAGGAUGAAGGCCUAUGGGUUGUAAACUUCUUUUCUCAGAAAAGAAUUAUGACGGUAUCUGAGGAAUAAGCAUCGGCUAACUCUGUGCCAGCAGCCGCGGUAAGACAGAGGAUGCAAGCGUUAUCCGGAAUGAUUGGGCGUAAAGCGUCUGUAGGUUGUUUAAAAAGUAUUCUGUCAAAGAUUAGGGCUUAACCCUAGAUAGGCAGAAUAAACUUUUAAGCUAGAGUUUGGUAGAGGCAGAGGGAAUUCCCGGUGGGGCGGUGAAAUGCGUAGAUAUCGGGAGGAACACCAAAGGCGAAGGCACUCUGCUGGGCCAAUACUAACACUGAGAGACGAAAGCGAGGGGAGCAAAUGGGAUUAGAUACCCUUGUAGUCC
RNAcentral lists this ribosomal RNA (426 nucleotides) under uncultured bacterium. RNAcentral describes it as "partial 16S ribosomal RNA". It matches the Rfam family "Bacterial small subunit ribosomal RNA", at positions 354 to 796 of the family's 1533-position model. The record is from RNAcentral.